This 581-nucleotide ribosomal RNA is filed under the name uncultured fungus. RNAcentral's name for it is "eukaryotic LSU rRNA". The stretch from base 212 to 364 matches the Rfam family "5.8S ribosomal RNA". Lineage: Eukaryota; Fungi. The record is from RNAcentral.
CUUGGUCAUUUAGAGGAAGUAAAAGUCGUAACAAGGUUUCCGUAGGUGAACCUGCGGAAGGAUCAUUACCUAGAGUUUGUAGACUUCGGUCUGCUACCUCUUACCCAUGUCUUUUGAGUACCUUCGUUUCCUCGGCGGGUCCGCCCGCCGAUUGGACAACAUUCAAACCCUUUGCAGUUGCAAUCAGCGUCUGAAAAAACAUAAUAGUUACAACUUUCAACAACGGAUCUCUUGGUUCUGGCAUCGAUGAAGAACGCAGCGAAAUGCGAUAAGUAGUGUGAAUUGCAGAAUUCAGUGAAUCAUCGAAUCUUUGAACGCACAUUGCGCCCUUGGUAUUCCAUGGGGCAUGCCUGUUCGAGCGUCAUUUGUACCCUCAAGCUCUGCUUGGUGUUGGGUGUUUGUCUCGCCUYUGCGUGUAGACUCGCCUUAAAACAAUUGGCAGCCGGCGUAUUGAUUUCGGAGCGCAGUACAUCUCGCGCUUUGCACUCAUAACGACGACGUCCAAAAGUACAUUUUUACACUCUUGACCUCGGAUCAGGUAGGGAUACCCGCUGAACUUAAGCAUAUCAAUAAGCGGAGGA